GACGAACGCUGGCGGCGUGCUUAACACAUGCAAGUCGAACGGUGAAGCCUUUCGGGGUGGAUCAGUGGCGAACGGGUGAGUAACACGUGGGCAACCUGCCCCUGACUUCGGGAUAAGCCCGGGAAACCGGGUCUAAUACCGGAUAUGAUCACGUCCCGCAUGGGGUGUGGUGGAAAGUUUUUCGGUCAGGGAUGGGCUCGCGGCCUAUCGGCUUGUUGGUGGGGUGAUGGCCUACCAAGGCGACGACGGGUAGCCGGCCUGAGAGGGCGACCGGCCACACUGGGACUGAGACACGGCCCAGACUCCUACGGGAGGCAGCAGUGGGGAAUAUUGCGCAAUGGGCGAAAGCCUGACGCAGCGACGCCGCGUGAGGGAUGAAGGCCUUCGGUUGU
Molecule: ribosomal RNA, 392 nt
Filed under: uncultured bacterium
Lineage: Bacteria
Description: partial 16S ribosomal RNA
Rfam family: Bacterial small subunit ribosomal RNA
Source: RNAcentral